GCAUGGCAUAGUGGUUUGAGUGUUGGACUACAACUCUGGAGACCAGGGUUCGAUUCCCAGCUCAACCA
This 68-nucleotide transfer RNA is filed under the name Phrynosoma platyrhinos (Desert horned lizard). Its description in RNAcentral is "tRNA-OTHER". The record is from RNAcentral. Lineage: Eukaryota; Metazoa; Chordata; Lepidosauria; Squamata; Phrynosomatidae.